UUUUUCCUACCCUGUUCGCGAAUCGCGAGCCAUUAUAACCCUACAACUAUUUUAAUGGGAGCCUGACUCCUGUGGUGGGCUUGCAGACCUCCCGACCAUGUCGGAAGAAGGGAGCGCAAAGCCAUGGGGAAGGCACCCACCUGCUUGCUGCAGGUUAUCAACGGCCGUCUACGGCAGGGUGGGAAUUGU
Molecule: non-coding RNA, 189 nt
Filed under: bacterium
Lineage: Bacteria
Description: 6S RNA
Rfam family: 6S / SsrS RNA
About the family: E. coli 6S RNA was the first non coding RNA to be sequenced, but its function was unknown until recently.
Source: RNAcentral